This 475-nucleotide ribosomal RNA is filed under the name uncultured bacterium. RNAcentral's name for it is "bacterial SSU rRNA". It matches the Rfam family "Bacterial small subunit ribosomal RNA", at positions 28 to 501 of the family's 1533-position model. The record is from RNAcentral.
GAUGAACGCUGGCGGCGUGCUUAACACAUGCAAGUCGAACGAAGCAUUUAAGACAGAUUACUUCGGUUUGAAGUCUUUUAUGACUGAGUGGCGGAUGGGUGAGUAACGCGUGGGUAACCUGCCUCAUACAGGGGGAUAGCAGCUGGAAACGGCUGGUAAUACCGCAUAAGCGCACGGUAUCACAUGAUACAGUGUGAAAAACUCCGGUGGUAUGAGAUGGACCCGCGUCUGAUUAGCUAGUUGGUGAGGUAACGGCCCACCAAGGCGACGAUCAGUAGCCGACCUGAGAGGGUGACCGGCCACAUUGGGACUGAGACACGGCCCAGACUCCUACGGGAGGCAGCAGUGGGGAAUAUUGCACAAUGGAGGAAACUCUGAUGCAGCGACGCCGCGUGAGUGAAGAAGUAGUUCGCUAUGUAAAGCUCUAUCAGCAGGGAAGAUAGUGACGGUACCUGACUAAGAAGCUCCGGCUAAA